GUUGGAUGCUCUCGGUGGGAUUCGGUAAACGUUGACUUCAGGUUUGACACAGAGGACCGACUCAUACUCGAACUGACCCUCGGUCGCCAUCUUGACUUUCCUCGGUUGAUACACGCCGGUGGUGGUGACGCAUCCUCAGGCCCUCGCUGUCAGUGCCCUCAAAAUCACAAAAGUAAAGGCGGGAGACAAAGAUCCUGAGACGGAGAUUGGGUGUCUGGCUGAGGAACUGGGCCAGUCUGAAGGAACAGUUGGCACAGGGAGACCAGGAGCAGAACCAGGUCUUCCUUGCAUGCCCCUUCACAUACCUCUACAUGGCAGCCAUUGCGAUUGCGGAGAUGCCCAAAGUCAAAUGACAAGGAGUCUGGUCCCACACGUCUCUUUACAACAAAGCAGAGACUCUGGACAAGCAGUCGACCCAGGCCCUCCCUGCGGUACCAGCAGCUCGUCACCAACCUGCAGAUCCUCCUGAUACCUGCUCGCUUCUCACUCUCUCGGAAGAUGCAG
Long non-coding RNA from Sphaeramia orbicularis (orbiculate cardinalfish), 504 nucleotides. RefSeq lists it as uncharacterized. NCBI's taxonomy places the organism in Eukaryota, Metazoa, Chordata, Actinopteri, Kurtiformes, Apogonidae. The record is from RefSeq and is a predicted model, not a curated record. The transcript has 4 exons.